Molecule: ribosomal RNA, 448 nt
Filed under: uncultured bacterium
Lineage: Bacteria
Description: bacterial SSU rRNA
Rfam family: Bacterial small subunit ribosomal RNA
Source: RNAcentral
ACCAGACUCCUACGGGAGGCAGCAGUGGGGGAUAUUGCACAAUGGGGGAAACCCUGAUGCAGCGACGCCGCGUGUGGGAAGACGGCCCUCUGGAUUGUAAACCACUGUCCCCAGGGACGAAGAUGACGGUACCUGACUAAGAAGCCCCGGCUAACUACGUGCCAGCAGCCGCGGUAAUACGUAGGGGGCGAGCGUUAUCCGGAUUCACUGGGUGUAAAGGGAGCGUAGACGGCCAUGCAAGCCAGGGGUGAAAGCCCGGGGCCCAACCCCGGGACUGCCCUUGGAACUGUGCGGCUAGAGUGCGGGAGGGGCAGGCGGAAUUCCUGGUGUAGCGGUGAAAUGCGUAGAUAUCAGGAGGAACACCGGCGGCGAAGGCGGCCUGCUGGACCGCGACUGACGUUGAGGCUCGAAAGCGUGGGGAGCGAACAGGAUUAGAUACCCCUGUACG